Molecule: ribosomal RNA, 253 nt
Filed under: uncultured Bilophila sp.
Lineage: Bacteria; Pseudomonadati; Thermodesulfobacteriota; Desulfovibrionia; Desulfovibrionales; Desulfovibrionaceae
Description: partial 16S ribosomal RNA
Rfam family: Bacterial small subunit ribosomal RNA
Source: RNAcentral
UACGUAGGGGGCAAGCGUUAUCCGGAUUUACUGGGUGUAAAGGGAGCGUAGACGGUUAAUCAAGUCAGAAGUGAAAUCCCACGGCCCAACCGUGGAACUGCCUUUGAAACUGUAGAGCUUGAGUGUCGGAGAGGGUGGCGGAAUUCCAGGUGUAGGAGUGAAAUCCGUAGAUAUCUGGAGGAACACCGGUGGCGAAGGCGGCCACCUGGACGACAACUGACGCUGAGGUGCGAAAGCGUGGGUAGCAAACAGG